Long non-coding RNA from Homo sapiens (human), 571 nucleotides. RefSeq lists it as uncharacterized. The record is from RefSeq and is a predicted model, not a curated record. The transcript is spliced from 2 exons. NCBI's taxonomy places the organism in Eukaryota, Metazoa, Chordata, Mammalia, Primates, Hominidae.
UGAAGGUCUGCAUGACGUUUGAGCCAGCUCUGAGGAACUCUCGAUGAAGCUGGCGAACUGGGAGAGUGAAUGAGGAAAGAGACAGCAUCUCACUAUGUGCCCAGAGGAACUUGAACUCCUGGGCUCAGAAGAUCCUCCAGUCUCACCCUCCCCAGCAGCCAAAACUACAGGCUCGUGCCACAGUGCCCAGCAAUGCUAUUAAGCCAUUUUAUUUUAAGACUGAAAAGGUGGCCAAAUCACUCAAAGACUUCUAUCUUUGGUGUUAAAAUUCAGUUUCCACAACAGUAGCUAUGCUAUACAGUCCAGGUUAUGAGUGUGCACAUGCUGUACUCUAUGAUGAGAACAAGGAAGAGACAACUAAAGUAUUUGUUGAAUGAUUUUUCAGCCCAAUCUCCAUACUUAUUCCAUUUACAAUACUGUGCAGUAAUCACCCUGGUGUUGUUCUAUGGAUAACUUUGGAAUUAAGUAUUUUGAAAGGGUUUUGUGAAUUACAAAGUAAUUCUCUAGUUUAAUAGAUUUUUUGUAAUUUCAAAGAAUCAUAGACUUUAAAAAUAAAUAGUACUCAAUUCAA